RNAcentral lists this long non-coding RNA (787 nucleotides) under Olea europaea subsp. europaea. The record is from RNAcentral. Lineage: Eukaryota; Viridiplantae; Streptophyta; Magnoliopsida; Lamiales; Oleaceae.
CUCUCUUGUUUCUCUCUCUCUAUUUUGGAGACUUUAUUCUUCUUUCUUCUUGGUUUUUGGAAUCUGGAGAUUAUUAUUCCUUUGUAUGAUUCUUGUAAAUCUCGUGUGUUUCAGUAACCAGUAGACAGGAUGUGUAGUCAAUCUAUUGUAUUUGUGUAGUUGUGGUCGGUUUUGUUAGGAAGCAGAUUGUAGUGUCUAGAUUUGAGAUCCGUUUGGAUCGAUGAUUGAUCUGGUUGUUCUCUUUAGUUCUAUGUACUGUACUCUCUCUGGGAGGUAGAAUUGCACUAGUGGAUUGGGCUGACUCUGAGCCCCCUAGAUUAAGCCAUUCGAGCCGAACUGGGUGAACAUUUUCUGUGUACCUUUAUUUUCUUGUACUUUGUGUUUGUGUUUGUGUUGCUUGUGUUGUUCUUGAUUUUGGGUUAAAAUACCCUACAAAUCUGGUAUCAGAGCUAUUAAAGGCUUGAGGUAAGACAUAUUUGAAUUUAGUUUAAUUUCUAGUCGUUUUAACGUGUUUACUUCACUUGUGCAGUAACAAGAAAGUGAAAUAAAUCGAUUCUUGGAAGCUAGGGUUUGGAUUUACAUUUGCAGAAAUCGGAUCUGCAUUUGUUAAAUACUGUAAUACACAAUAUUUGGUGAGAUCUUUUACAAUUAAACUACAGUAGUCAAUUUGCAUGAUAUAAAUGAUAUAUGUGAAUUCAGUGAUGCUAUUGUCAUUUGAUUAUUCAAAGAAAUUGGAUAUAGUGUUUAAUUGUGAUAGAAGCACGUUUUAGGAAAUUUCAUUUUUCUG